Podarcis lilfordi (Lilford's wall lizard) is the source of this 69-nucleotide non-coding RNA. Lineage: Eukaryota; Metazoa; Chordata; Lepidosauria; Squamata; Lacertidae. The record is from the annotation of a GenBank genome assembly.
GCAUAGCUCCGUUGGUAGAGCAUGAGACUCUUAGGCUCAGUGUCGUGAGUUCAACUCCCACAUUGGCCA